RNAcentral lists this ribosomal RNA (422 nucleotides) under uncultured bacterium. Its description in RNAcentral is "bacterial SSU rRNA". It matches the Rfam family "Bacterial small subunit ribosomal RNA", at positions 355 to 774 of the family's 1533-position model. The record is from RNAcentral.
UGAGGAAUAUUGGUUAAUGGGCGCAAGCCUGAACCAGCCAUGCCGCGUGCAGGAUGAAGCAUUUAUGGUGUGUAAACUGCUUUUGUACGGGAAGAAACCACCCCUCGUGAGGGGUAUUGACGGUACCGUAAGAAUAAGGAUCGGCUAACUUCGUGCCAGCAGCCGCGGUAAUACGGAGGAUCCAAGCGUUAUCCGGAAUCACUGGGUUUAAAGGGUCCGUAGGCGGGUCUGUAAGUCAGUGGUGAAAUUUUCCCGCUCAACGGGGAAACUGCCAUUGAUACUGCAGGUCUUGGAUUAUUUGGAAAUAGCUAGAAUAUAUAGUGUAGCUGUGAAAUGCUUAGUGAUUACAUGAAAUACCGAUUGCGAAGGCAGGUUACUACCGAUGGAUUGACGCUGAUGGACGAAAGCGUGGGUAGCGAACA